UGGGGAAUUUUGGACAAUGGGGGAAACCCUGAUCCAGCCAUCCCUCGUGUGCGAUGAAGGCCUUCGGGUUGUAAAGCACUUUUUGCAGGAAAGAAACGUCAUGGGUUAAUACCCCGUGAAACUGACGGUACCUGCAGAAUAAGCACCGGCUAACUACGUGCCAGCAGCCGCGGUAAUACGUAGGGUGCAAGCGUUAAUCGGAAUUACUGGGCGUAAAGCGUGCGCAGGCGGUUCGGAAAGAAAGAUGUGAAAUCCCAGAGCUCAACUUUGGAACUGCAUUUUUAACAACCGGGCUAGAGUGUGUCAGAGGGAGGUGGAAUUCCGCGUGUAGCAGUGAAAUGCGUAGAUAUGCGGAGGAACACCGAUGGCGAAGGCAGCCUCCUGGGAUAACACUGACGCUCAUGCACGAAAGCGUGGGGAGCAAACAGG
This 429-nucleotide ribosomal RNA is filed under the name Acidobacteriota bacterium. Its description in RNAcentral is "Acidobacteria bacterium partial 16S ribosomal RNA". It matches the Rfam family "Bacterial small subunit ribosomal RNA", at positions 355 to 776 of the family's 1533-position model. The record is from RNAcentral. Lineage: Bacteria; Pseudomonadati; Acidobacteriota.